GGAUUGAUAGUUUAAUUGGUUAAAACUUUGACUUGUCACGUCAAAAACUACGGGUUCAAUUCCCGUUCAGUCCG
This 74-nucleotide transfer RNA is filed under the name Candidatus Carsonella ruddii CE isolate Thao2000. RNAcentral's name for it is "tRNA-Asp (GTC) (tRNA-Asp-GTC-1-1)". It matches the Rfam family "tRNA". Rfam says of the family: Transfer RNA (tRNA) molecules are approximately 80 nucleotides in length. Their secondary structure includes four short double-helical elements and three loops (D, anti-codon, and T loops). Further hydrogen bonds mediate the characteristic L-shaped molecular structure. tRNAs have two regions of fundamental functional importance: the anti-codon, which is responsible for specific mRNA codon recognition, and the 3' end, to which the tRNAs corresponding amino acid is attached (by aminoacyl-tRNA synthetases). tRNAs cope with the degeneracy of the genetic code in two manners: having more than one tRNA (with a specific anti-codon) for a particular amino acid; and 'wobble' base-pairing, i.e. permitting non-standard base-pairing at the 3rd anti-codon position. The record is from RNAcentral. Lineage: Bacteria; Pseudomonadati; Pseudomonadota; Gammaproteobacteria; Oceanospirillales; Halomonadaceae. RNAcentral also lists the same sequence under 1 other name.